GAUGAACGCUGGCGGCGUGCCUAACACAUGCAAGUCGAGCGGAGAAUUGUUGCUUGCAACAAUUCUUAGCGGCGGACGGGUGAGUAACACGUGGGUAACCUGCCCUAAACAAAGGGAUAACAAUGAGAAAUCAUUGCUAAUACCGUAUAAGCUUACACUAUCGCAUGAUAGAGUAAGAAAAGAUUUAUCGGUUUAGGAGGGGCCCGCGUCUGAUUAGCUAGUUGGAGAGGUAACGGCUCACCAAGGCGACGAUCAGUAGCCGACCUGAGAGGGUGAUCGGCCACAUUGGGACUGAGACACGGCCCAAACUACUACGGGAGGCAGCAGUGGGGAAUAUUGCACAAUGGAGGAAACUCUGAUGCAGCAACGCCGCGUGAAGGAAGAAGGUUUUCGGAUCGUAAACUUCUAUCUACAGGGAAGAAAAAAAUGACGGUACCUGAGUAAGAAGCCCCGGCUAACUACGUG
This 465-nucleotide ribosomal RNA is filed under the name uncultured bacterium. RNAcentral's name for it is "partial 16S ribosomal RNA". It matches the Rfam family "Bacterial small subunit ribosomal RNA", at positions 28 to 507 of the family's 1533-position model. The record is from RNAcentral.